UGGGGAAUAUUGGACAAUGGGGGGGAACCCCGUGAUCCAGCGACGCCGCGUGAGUGAAGAAGUAUUUCGGUAUGUAAAGCUCUAUCAGCAGGGAAGAAAGAAAUGACGGUACCUGACUAAGAAGCCCCGGCUAACUACGUGCC
Molecule: ribosomal RNA, 143 nt
Filed under: uncultured bacterium
Lineage: Bacteria
Description: partial 16S ribosomal RNA
Rfam family: Bacterial small subunit ribosomal RNA
Source: RNAcentral